GCAAAUAACCGCUGUUUGUUUCCGUUAAGUUCUGGUCUUUCAUUUCUGUUCUUCCACUUCCUUUUCCUUCCUCCCAAUUUCAGUUCUCACAGGAACGCGAUCAAACAAAAAUGAUGGGAAAUUGAAACAGUAACAGAGCAAAAAACAAUCUAAAAAACUUUUUUUUUUAAAUUAAUCAUAAUUUAAUUUGUUAAUGGGGGACGCGUACUGCUCCGACUGCAAGCGGCAGACGGAGGUGGUGUUCGACCAUUCAGCGGGGGACACGGUGUGUUCGGAGUGUGGAUU
This 285-nucleotide unclassified non-coding RNA is filed under the name Hevea brasiliensis (rubber tree). Lineage: Eukaryota; Viridiplantae; Streptophyta; Magnoliopsida; Malpighiales; Euphorbiaceae. The record is from RNAcentral.